Molecule: long non-coding RNA, 213 nt
Filed under: Brassica napus (rape)
Lineage: Eukaryota; Viridiplantae; Streptophyta; Magnoliopsida; Brassicales; Brassicaceae
Description: long non-coding RNA (BNAP_LNC017125)
Source: RNAcentral
AACCAAGAUGAAUCGUGAUGUAAGAAGCUUGAUUUUGAUACAUAAAGUAGUGAAGAAUCACUAGGAAGUUGAAUAAAUUUCAUAGGAGUUAGGAUGAAGUAUACACUUUUGUGUAUGUAGAGUGAUGAAUAAAUAUCAAGAGAUGAUUUGUUUAGUUUGUAUGAGAUUAGGAGAUUAAGAGAGACUAAGAGAAUAAAGAACAAGAGAGAAUAC